CAAGUGUGCUGCACACGGCUGUAGAUGUGGUGUGCUCACAACGGCUGCUCCACAGUGAGAACAGUGGCCCUAGCAGAUGAUGAAGAUUUCCUUAGGCACUGUGGAUGCUACACACCUGUACCGCUGGCACGGGCCUCUGGCACUGUGGCCCCCGAAGGGUCCCAUGGCCCAAAUCUUACAAAGUUCAGCUGCUUCUCCCCUUGCCCCCACCCCGGU
RNAcentral lists this long non-coding RNA (216 nucleotides) under Fukomys damarensis (Damara mole-rat). RNAcentral describes it as "lncRNA (ENSFDAG00000025526.1)". The record is from RNAcentral. Lineage: Eukaryota; Metazoa; Chordata; Mammalia; Rodentia; Bathyergidae.